AUGACAUCAUCAUACAGUGGUGCAAGUUCACGUUAAGUGGAAGUUUUUAUACGGCUGGUGGUUUACAAAUCUCUUUGGCAGGACGUGCACACACAUGAGGAAAAAAAGCCAAACGGUGUGUGCUGGUGAGUAUCUAUCAGAAAUAUAUUUUCAGUAUAAAAAAAAUGUUGAGUUUAUCAACUUUCUACUCAAUAUUACCAAUUGUUAUUUACCAUCGCAACAUUUUACUUUGAUAAAAACUACCUUGUAGGUAAAGUAUUUUCCUAAAAUAUAAAGGCGACUAACAAAUACAAAUGUAUAGCAGUGAAUCUUGCUAACUUAGUAUUAACCUUCUCGCAAUGGGCAUCCUUUUGUGAGCAUGUCAUGAGGUUUUAGUUGGUUAUACUCAAAAUUUAAUUAAACAACUUUCUUAUCAUGGGAUAUGAAUAAACUUGGCAUAAAAACAUAGCUAGUAAUCCAAAGUUUAAUAUUAUUUAAUUUUUAAGUCCUGAAUUUUAUAAGGCAGUACUAAAAAAACUAAAGUAUAUUAAAGAAUUGUGACUUUUGCUCUCUAAGUAUCCCCUCUUCCCUAAUAUAGCAUCCCUCCGAGAAGUAUGACAAUUAAUUUCAAUUACUCAUUAUAAUGUUGUCAUUGCUCAGACAAAACAUAUUUUUUAUAACAAUUUGGUUACAGAGCCAUAAAAUAGAAAAUCAGAACCCUAUUGCCAUACCUGCCUGUCACAUCCUCUCUUUCAGAAAUUGCCAAUAGUUCUCUUUGACAUAUUUUUUUUUUCUUCGUUAAAUAGACAUUGGCUAGAGAUUCAGAAACUUCGAAGUAAAAUGAAGAGGAAAGUUGACACUAAAGCAAGUAAAGGAAGGAAGGUUAGAUAUGAUGUCCACCCUAAGCUCAUAAAUUUCAUGGCUCCUCUUGACAAUUCUUCUAUGACUGAUGAAUCAAGGAAUGAGCUAUACAGCUCGCUGUUUGGGAAGAAAAGUUAUCAGAGUUCAACUUCAUGACGAUAAUGUAAAUUUAUUUGUAAAAAUAAUUUUAAAUAAAAAGAAAAUCUGGCCAAACCUGCUUUCGGUGAUGAACUUCUUCAGCAAAACAUUUUCAAGAUUUUUUUAAACUAAAUGUUUCAUGUAGUAAUAGUAAUAUUAGUGAAGAGUCUACAUGAAAGCAACAAAAAUGUGAUAAAACUUUGAUUCUGAAUAUAAAGUUUGGGAGGUUUAUAAAGUAGCAUGUGAGAAAAUCUUAGGGAAACAACACCGUGUGUCUGGUGAAAAACUUUGGAUUCUUAAAACUCAAAAUCUCAAGGAAACAGCAGUAUUUUCCUGUUGAUGAAAGCUCGGAUUGUUAAUACUUCAAUAUCUUGGGGGGAAACAACGGAGUGAGUUUAUGAGAAAACCUUUAAUUAUUAAUACUGAAACUCUUGGGGAGAUUAAUUGAAAUACUUGUUAAAUAAAUGUGUGGAUUUAGGUGCUGAAAAGGUUUGGUGGAGAUAAGAAAUAUUGCUUGUAGACAUAGAACCUUUACCACAAGCUACUAGUGCGAAACCAAAAAAUUACAGCAAGCUUCAAGUUCAGGAAGAAAGUGAGGUUGAAUACUGAUGGUAAAAUGUAGAAUUCCUUGGCAUGCAUAAGAUAACACUUAAUAGUAUGUUUGUGAUAAAACAUCAUAAGAAUAAUGUGUUUUAACUUAUUAUCAGUCUUAUUUGUGGUUCAAGUCACACACAUUAUUACUGAAUGUCAUGCUUCAGCAGGUAUGGUGUUCUACAUGGUAUAAC
Molecule: long non-coding RNA, 1763 nt
Organism: Limulus polyphemus (Atlantic horseshoe crab)
Lineage: Eukaryota; Metazoa; Arthropoda; Merostomata; Xiphosura; Limulidae
Exons: 3
Source: RefSeq, a predicted model, not a curated record